ACAGGGCCUAUUUCAAGUGGGCCUUUUCAAGACAAGAAAGAGUUUUACAGCUACACUGCCAGUCAGCCCCUUGCAAUUUCCUAGUUGCCCCAGCACAAUCAAAAGAAGAGAGUUUUAGCAGAAGAAAUGUGUGGAGAUCAAAAAAACUCAGUGUGGAAUUUACCUGGAAAGGGAAGGACCUCAUGAUGCUCACUAUGAGAAGGAAAGAGCUAGCAUCAAACACAGGUUUAGAUGGAAAGUUAAAGGAAAAGCUAUCAGUUUGUUUCUAAAAGAGAUCUUUGAGAUAAACUGGAAAGGUCAUUUAUGUUUUCUAAAAAUGUAAAUACAGUAUGUUCU
This is a long non-coding RNA of Nothoprocta perdicaria, 336 nucleotides long. RefSeq lists it as uncharacterized. Lineage: Eukaryota; Metazoa; Chordata; Aves; Tinamiformes; Tinamidae. The record is from RefSeq and is a predicted model, not a curated record. The transcript has 3 exons.